Molecule: ribosomal RNA, 253 nt
Filed under: uncultured bacterium
Lineage: Bacteria
Description: partial 16S ribosomal RNA
Rfam family: Bacterial small subunit ribosomal RNA
Source: RNAcentral
UACAGAGGCCUCAAGCGUUGUUCGGAUUCAUUGGGCGUAAAGGGUGCGUAGGUGGCGGGGUAAGUCAGGUGUGAAAUCUCGAGGCUCAACCUCGAAACUGCACUUGAUACUGCCUUGCUCGAGUACUGGAGAGGAGAUUGGAAUUUACGGUGUAGCAGUGAAAUGCGUAGAUAUCGUAAGGAAGACCAGUGGCGAAGGCGAAUCUCUGGACAGUUACUGACACUGAGGCACGAAGGCCAGGGGAGCAAACGGG